UCAACUGGGAAAUCCUUUUAGAACUACCUUCUGAAGGGUCUUCACUUUUUCCCUUAAGGAAGAAGCAGUGUCUACACCUGAAAGCAGCUCCUAACGUUGCUCUCGCCCAGUCAGGCAGUGGCGGCCGCUUCACGCUGCGUGGAGCCCAUCGGUGGAGGCGUCUAACGGCCCAGUGUCCCGUCCCCUCCCAGAUGGUCCCGCAGGCCGCCGGCGUCCCCUUCCCGGCCCAGGCUCUGCCCUUGCUCCCUCCUCCUGCGGGCCCCGGACUCAGCCUCCGCGCAACGCGCCGCGCAGAGCACGGUGCCGAAAGCGAUCGGGCCGGGGCGGCCGAGCGGAAAUUACGGGCAGAGACUGGCGCAGCCGCCCCGAUGAGGCCGCCCCCAGCGGCGCCCCCUGGAGGCGGGACGCGGUAGCAGCCCGCCCUGGCCAUGCAGGUGUCUGGCCCGCUCCCGAGCCAGGCGCACACCUGGGGCACCCCGCUGCAGACAGGAUUGGUGGCUUACACAGGAACCCUUCGCAAGUCAACUGCUCUGGUGGGUUUAGGAACUGAGAUGACUCAAGGAGGCUGUCAGAUUGCAUCCAAAUGUUACAGAAACACUCAGAAGGCCCAGCAGGACCAUACCUGUUGAGAAGAGGCUCCAAAGGUGGCAGGAAAUCUGCAACUUCAAGCAAGUAACUCUGUUCAGGGUGCAGUGGAGAAUGAACAAAGGCCAAAAGACAGAAGAGGGCUGCUGAAGACACCCAUGGAAGUGUCAUUUUCAGUUGGCAUCAAUGACUCAUUUCCAGGACUCUCAAGGUAGAAGAUGGGGCCUACUUAAUGUACCCCAAGAACCCAUAACCCCCUUGGCACCCUAGAAGCAUCCCAUUCAGCUGGAAAAAAAUAAGCAGAGACGGCCACCUGUCAUCUAUGCCUUGCAGCACUGCAUACAAUCAUGACCAAAUGCCCCCGAUGUGGGUGAGCUGAAUUUUGCACUUCCUUCACAUAGUACUCACUUCCAAUGGGGUCACUAAGAAGCACAGCAAGGGGUUUUCUUACCUGAUCAUUACUGGCCAUGGCUGGCUGGCUGGUCCCUUUCUACCAUAAUGCCGAGAAAUAAAGAAGCCUAAUGUUCUUGCUGACACCUGUCGGAGCAGCUAGUCAUGCCUUCUAUAUUCGUGUCCCUAAUCAGGAUCAAACGCUAGCCUUAAACAACCAGAGCUGGUGGUUUGGGGACAUGGCUCCUUCUACCUGCACCUUCUGUGAGUUUUUCCAGGUGGCUUUCCUACUCCAGGAUCGUGCAUUAUAUAAAAUAUAAGAAGACCAGUUUACUUGCCCCAUGAUGGCCUGUGGCACUCAUGAGCAACAGGCUGGGAAUUUGGGCAAACAUCUCUGAAACCACCACAUUUCAGACAACAGCUGGCAGAGGAAGAUUUAUACUUGAGAAAUGAGUGAAUCAAGAUAUCAGAAUAACAUCAGGAUGUCAGCAAACAUCACUCAGAAAUCAUUUCAAAGUUAGUGAUUUACAUUCCAAGUUUCAGUAGCUGAAACUCCUUCAAGGAAGCCUAAGAGUUUCCCACCAUCUUAGGUAUGCAGAAAAAAACCCCACACAAAUGGAUUAUAUAGAUUUGUAGGCUUCUAAGUAGCAGGGCUGUUUCUGAUGAUUUUCAAAUAUUUCCAUUUAAAACCUAAAAUUUGAGAAAUAGGAAGGCCAGGGAAUUUAACUCUACUUUAAAAUGUUCCUCUACAUACAAAUGUGUCAACUGGAAGAAACUGAUUUAAAGAUAAAAAGAAAAUCAGGCAUUCUCUGGAGGAUGCUAGAUUCAUUUCUUGAUGCCUUUAACUAAUUUCUCAAAUUCCUGAGUGCGGGCAUCAUUCAGGAGAACGUGCAGUUGCAGUCAGGUUUGGGGGAUGCCGGGUGUUCAGGGCGGUGUA
Molecule: long non-coding RNA, 1912 nt
Organism: Rhinolophus ferrumequinum (greater horseshoe bat)
Lineage: Eukaryota; Metazoa; Chordata; Mammalia; Chiroptera; Rhinolophidae
Exons: 5
Source: RefSeq, a predicted model, not a curated record